This 916-nucleotide long non-coding RNA is filed under the name Physcomitrium patens. Its description in RNAcentral is "long non-coding RNA (PPAT_LNC005611)". The record is from RNAcentral. Lineage: Eukaryota; Viridiplantae; Streptophyta; Bryopsida; Funariales; Funariaceae.
UCACUGGUUAAACAUGUUAUCACUUUCGAAUAUUAUCAGAGUAACAGAGUCACAUAAUGCAGUCAUAAUCUGCAAGGAGUGUGACUUUCAUAUACAGUCUAUGCAGAGAUUCUUUUAACUUGUUUUCACAGUGGAGAAUUACUACCGAUCACCAACAUUACAGCAAUUUUUUUGGGACCGAUUCCAGCAGAGAAUCACAAGCGGUGCCAACUAAAGAUCAACUUCUCUACUGGCUCUAAAUAACCCCUUUUUCUUACAUGCCUUCAGCCCAGUAUCACCGUUUUAGUUUAAGACUACGAUAACACGAUCGUGCUCCAGAUCGCCCUCCAAGAUGGACCAACUCAAAUAGAUUCGGCUUCAUUUCUGGAGAACUGGACAAUACUAAAAUUGUAGGCAGACACAUAAAAAAAAAAAGUUUCCAAUUUUGACGCCAUACCCGAACUCUGUGUCAAUGUAGGCUUGUGGGAAUUCCAUCAACAAUAUUUGAGCCAGACGUUGUAUAACUUUGUAUCAUUUCUAACGUAGCCUCUCCAGGGUGCCAAUUGUAAUCUGUAUGCCGUAGAUAGAAAGGUCUAUUUAGUGAACCGAGACCUCUGCAGACAUCCACUAAAUCGACUGCAUGGAAUUGGUAAUUGAAAAUCAAACUUCAAAUUUGCACCAGAAGAUGAGUUCACUGCACAAGGAGAGACCAAGUCGAAAGUGAGACAGUACCAGAAAGAGGGAACUCUUUGAAUAAGUGUUAUGGAGGAGGAGCAUGCACUCUGAGUAUAGUCCGUAAGUUUAUAAAAGGUCAGCGUAAUUGGAGCCACCACUCAAAGUUCCUCAACUGCUACGAAAGCUUGAUACUAUCAAGUCUAGGAAAAGAAUAACUAGAAGCUCAUUGACAGUGUUUUGGACUUGACUGAAACAUGAGGAC